CGUACAAAAUGUGUGAGGGCAUGCGAGGGCUGUUGCUGACCUCAAGGUCGUGCACGCCGGAGUGUGUCCUCUCACAUAACAAUCCAUCUCACCCUUUGUGCACCACCGCGUGGGCACCCUUCGGGAUCGGACCGAUCUCGGAGGGGGUUCACGUUUUCACACAAAACACCCCCCCUUUAAAAAGUGUAGAAUGACCUCGUUUAUGCAAUCAAUACAACUUUCAACAACGGAUCUCUUGGCUCUCGCAUCGAUGAAGAACGCAGCGAAAUGCGAUACGUAAUGUGAAUUGCAGAAUUCAGUGAAUCAUCGAAUCUUUGAACGCACCUUGCGCCCCUUGGUAUUCCGAGGGGCACACCCGUUUGAGCGUCGUGAAAAUCUCAACCUCCUUUGUUUCUUCCGAGGACCACAGGAGGCUUGGACUUUGGAGGUUUUUGCUGGCGUCUUUGAAGGCCAGCUCCUCUUAAAUGAAUUAGCGGGGGUCCUCUUUGCCGAUCCUUGACAUGUGAUAAGAUGCUUCCGUGUCUUGGUUUCUGGCUCUGUUGCCUUUGGGACCCGCUUCUAACCGUCUUGACCUUGCGUCGAGACAACGUUCGAGCUCGUGUCUCCCUUCUCGGGAAACCCCCUCGACCCCACGAACCCUUGGCCUCAAAUCGGGUGAGACUACCCGCUGAACUUAAGCAUA
This 682-nucleotide ribosomal RNA is filed under the name uncultured Lactarius. RNAcentral describes it as "eukaryotic LSU rRNA". The stretch from base 216 to 369 matches the Rfam family "5.8S ribosomal RNA". Lineage: Eukaryota; Fungi; Basidiomycota; Agaricomycetes; Russulales; Russulaceae. The record is from RNAcentral.